AAUCAACGCUGGCGGCGUGCCUCAGACAUGCAAGUCGAACGCGAAAGUUCCCUUCGGGGGCGAGUAGAGUGGCGCACGGGUGAGUAACACGUAGGUAAUCUACCUUUGGGUUGGGGAAUAACAGCCGGAAACGGCUGCUAAUACCGCAUAAUGCAGCGGCUCGACAUCGAGACAGUUGUUAAAGCGGGGGAUCGCAAGACCUCGCGCCUAAAGAGGAGCCUGCGGCGGAUUAGCUUGUUGGUGAGGUAAUGGCUCACCAAGGCAUCGAUCCGUAGCCGGCCCUGAGA
Molecule: ribosomal RNA, 287 nt
Filed under: uncultured bacterium
Lineage: Bacteria
Description: partial 16S ribosomal RNA
Rfam family: Bacterial small subunit ribosomal RNA
Source: RNAcentral